This 1424-nucleotide long non-coding RNA is filed under the name Macaca mulatta (Rhesus monkey). RNAcentral describes it as "lncRNA (ENSMMUG00000057064.1)". The record is from RNAcentral. Lineage: Eukaryota; Metazoa; Chordata; Mammalia; Primates; Cercopithecidae.
AUGUCCCUGAUCAAACCAAUGUGGCUCAUGUCCAGGUAUUUCCCAUAUCUUUCUGUCUUUUCCAUGGCCAAAAACGAUCAACUAAAGAACAUUAAAGAAGAAAUAAAUUACCAUAUAUUAAAAAAUAUAUACUGUAAAAUGUUCUUUAUACAAAAAUAUGACAACUUCAAUAAAAGUAACUUGGAUAACCUGAGGCAUUAAUUGAGGAUCAAUGUGAUGACUCUACAUUGAGAAUCACAUAUACCUUCUGAAUAAAUUUUAAAAAUGAAAUAUUCUCAGUCACAUUAUUUUCAAAUUGUGGAUAUGCAUGGAAAUUAUCAGAGAACCAGAAUAUUCAAGGUUUAUCCUUCCUGUUUUUGUCUUAAAUCACAGCUUUGUGUUAAAUGAUAUGUAUGACCUAUUUCAGUGGCAGUAUGCUAAAUAAAAUUCUGUUUGUAUCUCCUGUUUUUGUGCUUCUCAAAUUGAAGUCACUGAAUCCUCAAGAAUUCAUGCUAGGUUGCCCUAAGAGUUGAUACUCCCAGAUGAACAAGGUGGAACUUCCUGGAGAAUUCAUCUUAUUGGAAUUAGAAUUUUUUGUGAACCCUCUAUAUGCUUAAGCCAAUAUAUUUUGAUAUGGAAAACAAAAUGUGCACAAAGGAGACAUAAAAGAAAUUUCCACCUGCCACAGAUCCCCUUGGGCUAUACCUCAACCCAAGACCCUACGUGUGCCAUUUUCUAUUCGGUAACCUUGUUAUAAAUAUUUAAGAAGCUCUUUCUAGUAGUUCACAAAAAACAUUCCUGUCGUGCCAGCCCAUUCUGCAGAUUCCCCAGGUUCGAUGCUGAUGAUAACAUAUUCCAUGGCUCUUGAAAAGUGCCAAAUAUUUUAGAAUAGCCUGCAGAGCACAAUGUAAAUGUGCAAUCAUUCUAAGUUUCUCAGUUUUCCUUUUUGCCACAAUAUGCCUACUGUUGUCUCAAUUAAAUGACUUUGGAUGUUUUCAGUCCUAUGCAAAAACAAUAUUAACUAAUAUGAAUUUAGAGCUUUCUAUGCAUAAAGAGCCCCCUCUGUAUUGUUGCUUUUAAGCAUCGCAGCAACCCUCUGAGUUAGGUGUCAUUCUCAUCCUCUUUGUAGACGAGAACCUGAGUACAAAUUGCUCAAAUUAUGUCCUCGAGAUCACACAGGUCAAAGGAAGAAUAUCCAGGAUUUGAAACCAAAUGGUCCUCCUUCGAGAUCCCACCUUUACAUAUUACUCUUAUUCUUCAUCUGGAAAGAACCAUGAGGGGAUAAAUUUCUUUGUUAAAAGGGCAAAUAAAAUAUUUAUAAUCAUGUUGAGCAGGGGUGAUUUCUGCCAUGUGACAUGAUUCUUACUUAACUGUUGGGACUCCAGCAGCUUACUCCAAUCAGCUUACAAACAGCACUGACUUCCACACACUCAGAGGGACACAGC